Molecule: ribosomal RNA, 254 nt
Filed under: uncultured bacterium
Lineage: Bacteria
Description: partial 16S ribosomal RNA
Rfam family: Bacterial small subunit ribosomal RNA
Source: RNAcentral
UACGUAGGGGGCGAGCGUUGUCCGGAUUUAUUGGGCGUAAAGAGCUCGUAGGCGGUUUGGUAAGUUGGAUGUGAAAUCUCCAGGCUCAACUUGGAGGGGUCAUUCGAUACUGCCAUGACUAGAGUUCGGUAGGGGAGUGUGGAAUUCCUGGUGGAGCGGUGAAAUGCGCAGAUAUCAGGAGGAACACCCGUAGCGAAGGCGGCACUCUGGGCCGGAACUGACGCUGAGAAGCGAAAGCGUGGGGAGCGAACAGG